UCCGUUAUGGUGUAGUGGCUAACAUUAUCGCCUCUCAUACGCAGUCAGGAGAUAAAGCGCGAUAGCCCAGGGUUCGAUUCCCUGUAACGGAA
This is a non-coding RNA of Marasmius oreades (fairy-ring Marasmius), 92 nucleotides long. NCBI's taxonomy places the organism in Eukaryota, Fungi, Basidiomycota, Agaricomycetes, Agaricales, Marasmiaceae. The record is from the annotation of a RefSeq genome assembly.